CACGUAGGCGGUUUGUUAAGUCGGAUGUGAAAGCCCCGGGCUCAACCUGGGAAUUGCACCCGAUACUGGCCGACUAGAGUACGAGAGAGGGAGGUAGAAUUCCACGUGUAGCGGUGAAAUGCGUAGAUAUGUGGAGGAAUACCGGUGGCGAAGGCGGCCUCCUGGCUCGAUACUGACGCUGAGGUGCGAAAGCGUGGGGAGCAAACA
RNAcentral lists this ribosomal RNA (207 nucleotides) under uncultured bacterium. Its description in RNAcentral is "partial 16S ribosomal RNA". It matches the Rfam family "Bacterial small subunit ribosomal RNA", at positions 568 to 774 of the family's 1533-position model. The record is from RNAcentral.